This 1240-nucleotide unclassified non-coding RNA is filed under the name Caenorhabditis elegans. RNAcentral describes it as "Non-coding transcript of protein-coding gene nhr-50". The record is from RNAcentral. Lineage: Eukaryota; Metazoa; Nematoda; Chromadorea; Rhabditida; Rhabditidae.
GUGGAAAUACACGGGAAAGUACUCCUUCCCCGUUUCCACGUGAUUUUCCGACUUUUCGAAUCGUCAUCAUUCCAAUAAUGGAUUUUUUCCCAAGCUGAUCUACCAAAAUGGCUUGCCAAGUGUGUGGCUGUUCAGACGUAGAACCCCAUUUUGGAGCACUGUCAUGUAGAGCAUGUGCCGCAUUUUUCCGCAGAUAUUUCCACUCGAAAAAAGUUGUUGGCCAGUGCAAUUGUGCUGUAAGAUUCCGGAAUAGUCAUCCGUGUAGGGAGUGUAGGAUUAAGAAGUGCUUAUCGAUUGGGAUGAAUCCAGAGAAAGUCCAAGAAAAACGAGAACGUCAUCCCCCGAAAAAGAACAAACCUCCAAGCAUAUCAGAAGCCUUAACUUCAAGCUCUUCAACACCACCAUCCCUCCCGAUUUCCCAACUACCUUCAAGAAUAAUUCCUCGCGACUGCUCAUCAAUUACUCUAACUGCUUUUAACUGGCAAAAAUGUCAGCCAAAGCGAAAUUAUAUGACUCGAACAUUGGAUGAAACCAACUAUUAUCAGUUAUCGUGUUUUAAGAUAGAAGAUUGUAUGAUGAUUUGGAGAAUUGUUGAAGAUCUUUUUCCGUCUUUAACAUGGAAUUUAAGGAAGUUGGAUAAAGAAGCUCUUCUCCGAAACUUUCUUCCGAAGUGGUCAGUUUUAACAGCGGCUAUUGAUAUGGAAGUUAAAGUGCAAAGAUACUCAAAAGUCAACAAUACUGAAGAGUUUAAAAGAAUGAUUGUAGAUUUCUUUACAUAUUCAAUGCCAGAGAAGUUCAAAAUGCCACCGGAAGAUAUAUUGAAAGUGUUCGGACCCAUGAUAGUGUACUACGUAACAAAAAUUAUUCUUCCAAUUCAUGAAAAAGGCUUGGACCAGCCGGAAUUUAUGGCGUUGGCGCUGAUUAUUUUGUUCGAUGGAGCCUACUCCAACAUCUCCGUGGAGUGCUCCGAAAUGUGCCGAACAAUUCGCAACCUGAUAUUUCGAGAGCUCAAAAAUUAUCAAACCGACAAGAACUUUGAUGAAAUUCAGUUUGCCGAUACUGUCGACACCUUGAAUAUUGUGGAAAAAGGAGAGAAGAAGUUCUAUGAAGAGCUUUUGAUAUGUGAUAUGCACAAUGUGCACUUACACGAGGAUUAUAGAUUAUUGUUAAACGAGUUGAAUGGUUAAAUAUGUAUAAAUGCAAUAUUGAUUAAUUUAUGAAACAAUUAUAAUGAAAAUUU